This 427-nucleotide ribosomal RNA is filed under the name uncultured bacterium. Its description in RNAcentral is "partial 16S ribosomal RNA". It matches the Rfam family "Bacterial small subunit ribosomal RNA", at positions 355 to 774 of the family's 1533-position model. The record is from RNAcentral.
UGGGGAAUAUUGCACAAUGGGCGCAAGCCUGAUGCAGCCAUGCCGCGUGUAUGAAGAAGGCCUUCGGGUUGUAAAGUACUUUCAGCGGGGAGGAAGGUGUUGAGGCUAAUAACCUCAGCAAUUGACGUUACCCGCAGAAGAAGCACCGGCUAACUCCGUGCCAGCAGCCGCGGUAAUACGGAGGGUGCAAGCGUUAAUCGGAAUUACUGGGCGUAAAGCGCACGCAGGCGGUCUGUCAAGUCGGAUGUGAAAUCCCCGGGCUCAACCUGGGAACUGCAUUCGAAACUGGCAGGCUAGAGUCUUGUAGAGGGGGGUAGAAUUCCAGGUGUAGCGGUGAAAUGUGUAGAGAUCUGGAGGAAUACCGGUGGCGAAGGCGGUCCCCUGGACAAAGACUGACGCUCAGGUGCGAAAGCGUGGGGAGCAAACA